RNAcentral lists this small nucleolar RNA (107 nucleotides) under Catagonus wagneri (Chacoan peccary). Its description in RNAcentral is "Small nucleolar RNA SNORA70 (ENSCWAG00000017063.1)". It matches the Rfam family "Small nucleolar RNA SNORA70". From Rfam's summary of the family: snoRNA U70 seems to be exclusive to mammals and is a member of the H/ACA class of snoRNA which contain H (ANANNA) and ACA box motifs. H/ACA box snoRNAs are involved in the conversion of uridines to pseudouridines (5-ribosyluracil) a constituent of structural RNAs (transfer, ribosomal, small nuclear, and small nucleolar). Lineage: Eukaryota; Metazoa; Chordata; Mammalia; Artiodactyla; Tayassuidae. The record is from Rfam by way of RNAcentral.
CUGGAUAAUAAGAGCAUCAAGCACAAUGGCUGCAGAGAGCAGCCUCCUCGGUAGUGUAUGCAGUCUGUUGCCUGUACAGGUUGCCCUAAGGGACCUUGGAAACAGUC